This 913-nucleotide ribosomal RNA is filed under the name uncultured Methanoculleus sp. RNAcentral describes it as "bacterial SSU rRNA". It matches the Rfam family "Archaeal small subunit ribosomal RNA", at positions 1 to 922 of the family's 1478-position model. The record is from RNAcentral. Lineage: Archaea; Methanobacteriati; Methanobacteriota; Methanomicrobia; Methanomicrobiales; Methanomicrobiaceae.
UUCCGGUUGAUCCCGCCGGAGGCUAUUGCUAUCAGGGUUUGACUAAGCCAUGCGAGUCGAGAGGUGAAAGACCUCGGCAUACUGCUCAGUAACACGUGGAUAAUCUGCCCUCAGGUGAGGAAUAAUCCCGGGAAACUGGGGCUAAUGCCUCAUAGGUUACAGAUGCUGGAAUGCUCUGUAAUCAAAAGUUCCGGCGCCCUAGGAUGGAUCUGCGGCCGAUUAGGUUGUUGUUGGGGUAAUGGCCCAACAAGCCAGUAAUCGGUACGGGUUGUGGGAGCAAGAGCCCGGAGUUGGAUUCUGAGACACGAAUCCAGGCCCUACGGGGCGCAGCAGGCGCGAAAACUUUACAAUGCGGGCAACCGUGAUAAGGGAACCUCGAGUGCCUGUAAAUGCAGGCUGUUCAGAUGCCUAAAACACACCUGAAGAAAGGGCCGGGCAAGACCGGUGCCAGCCGCCGCGGUAAUACCGGCGGCUCGAGUGGUGGCCACUUUUAUUGGGCUUAAAGCGUUCGUAGCUGGGUUGUUAAGUCUCUUGGGAAAUCUGGCGGCUUAACCGUCAGGCGUCUAAGGGAUACUGGCAAUCUUGGAACCGGGAGAGGUGAGGGGUACUUCGGGGGUAGGAGUGAAAUCCUGUAAUCCUCGAGGGACCACCUGUGGCGAAGGCGCCUCACCAGAACGGCUUCGACAGUGAGGGACGAAAGCUGGGGGAGCAAACCGGAUUAGAUACCCGGGUAGUCCCAGCCGUAAACUAUGCGCGUUAGGUGUAUCGGCGACCACGAGUCGCCGAGGUGCCGAAAGGGAAACCGUGAAACGUACCGCCUGGGAAGUACGGUCGCAAGGCUGAAACUUAAAGGAAUUGGCGGGGGAGCACCACAACAGGUGGAGCCUGCGGUUUAAUUGGAUUCAACGCCGGR